Molecule: long non-coding RNA, 1409 nt
Organism: Cucumis melo (muskmelon)
Lineage: Eukaryota; Viridiplantae; Streptophyta; Magnoliopsida; Cucurbitales; Cucurbitaceae
Exons: 3
Source: RefSeq, a predicted model, not a curated record
CGCUUAGUCAAUCGUGUUCGAAGCCCAAUUCUGAGUCGCCACCCCUUCCUUGUUGUGAGUCAUUAUUGUAGACCUUACUGUCAAGGAGUGAUUUGGUUUCAAACUUAAUUAGACUAGUUCAUUUGCAAAAUUUACCUUUCAACCAAGGAUUUUAGCUAAGCUCGAGGUAAAGGUAAUGUACGAGGCUGGUCGGCAAGGGGCAAGAAGGAUGUGUGAAGACCAUAUGGGAACAUCUAGGUUUAAUGCUUCCGCUCAAUGUCUUUGUUAUUUUCAUUUUGAGGAUUUUAAAUUUAAGUUUUGAUUAGAACAUUAGUUGUUUGUUUUGUUUGAAAUUCCAUAGGCUAUGUUUUGAAAUUUUUUAAAGUGAUUUGAACUAGGGCCCGAAAACGUCUUCAUUAUUACAUCUUGAAGUUUUAAUGAAUUUUUGAAUAGAGUAUUUAUUGAGUUCUUAUGCGGGAUGUCGUGUCUUAGCAAUGAGUAAUAACCUCAGCUUAGACUGAAAAAUUGGGUCGUUACAUCCAUUUUCAUCUUUUCCAAUUAACAUCAGAGACCAUAUUUCUGCUAGUGUUAAGAGUUCAUUUUCUGAAAGUUUGAAAAGAAAAGCUAAGUGUUGAAGUGUUAUUGAAGUGCUUACGCGAGAAGAAGAAGAAGAGAAGCAAGUGGAGUAUGAGUUUCUAAUGUUCGUAAGUGUUUUCUUCCAAAGUGUUUAUAUGAUAAAAGCUUUCUUUAAAAAUUAUUAUGAUUUCAAAAUAAUGAUAUCAAUUGAGUGUUUUGAAAGAGAUUUCGAAUAAAAGCUUAUAUUAUGUUUAAAGCAUAAUAUAUAUGUUUAAAUAAUUUAUUAAAUUGUAUUCAAACCAUUAGUCUUCUUCCUAUCAAUGAGGUAGCUAGUAUGUGCACAUAAAAAGUAAAACUAGCCAUGAAUAAAAUAUGUUCAUGGUUAAAUGAGGCGGGACAAGGCAUAGAAGAUGUGUAUUACGCUUCGGCUUGAGCAAUAAGAAACGAACUAGGAUAUACUCAAAUAUUGAUGAUGAGAUGGCCAUCACAGUACUCUAAACGUAAGAUGAUUAGUCUUUGCGUAAAGAAUGAUCCAGGUUCUUGCGAAAGGAAUGAUGAUUGACUAAUGUGUUUAUGUGAAAUGUAUGUUUAAGCGAUUUGAUGUGAAUAUCCAUGUUUAUGAAAGACAUUUUGUGACAAGGAUUUCUUAGAACCCCACUAAGUCUUUUGACUUAUGUUUUAAAGUUUUAUUUUACAAGUGUCAAGCGUUAAAGCUAAAGUAAAGAAAGGUUGAGAAGCUUGCUAGGCGAAAAGAGUUGUCAGACAUUCAGCUUUAAAGUUUAAGUGUUGUCUUUUGUAUUCUUUUAAAGUAUUGUAAUUGUAAAACUUAAGUAAUAAAAGUUUGAGUUUUGUUA